GAGCACAAGGGCCAAGGCGAUGUACAAACCAAGGACCAACCAAGACUCGAGCAGCCACCAGCAAGGGGAGGGGUCUGACAGGCUCUCCCUCGUCCUUCGAUGGAGCCACACUGUUAAUGCCCAGUCCUGGACUUCUGACCUGCUGGGGCAGCAAGUGGCACCAGGCUGUCACCCAGGCUAGGCCAGAGAGUGGAUGAAAUUCCUGCAGAUGUCCAGAAAUGCCUCUCCAGGAGGGGUCCCCACUGCGUUGGUGAGGGCACGCUUGCUCCUGUGGGGGUGUGUGACUUGCCACCUCCCCACACCACGGAACUCCUGCUCUGAGGACGGACUCGGGCAUCUGGAGCAUCCAGUCCGAGGACCAGCAGGUCAAAGAUGCGUGUGUGGAAGGGACACUCUGAGCAGUGGGAAAGGCAGAUGGAGCUGCCUGGAGCGCAGGCCCUGAGCCCCGGGUCACACCUGGGGCCUCUGCACACCGGAGCGGCCCCCGUCAGCCACCCUACAACUUGUGGCGGGGGAGCGUGGGCCCCAGGACGGGGAGCUGGCAGGCAGCCUCGCAGUGCUUAGGACAUAGCCUCCCCUUCCCAGCAGGCGAUUCCCACCUCCAGCCGCCAACCAGGGGCACACUUUCAGGCCACUGCUGAUGCCUCCUCACACCAUGGAAGCCUCACCCCCCCCCAUAGCUCCCUUAAGUGGGGCUGGAACGGAGAGGGGGGUCCCACCUGGAGCCCACUAAAUUGCCCUGGUUAAGAAUUUACGCAGGACUUUAAGUCCAGCAAAGCAGAGAGACUGGGGGGGCAGCGCCUGGCUGUGGUGCCUUGUUCUGGACGGGUCCCUUCAGCAGAGGCCACAGUGCUGUGCCCAGAUCCCUGCGUUUAGGGCUGCAGAGGCCGGGCAGGGGCUGCGCUGGGCGAGUCCGCGGCCCUCUCGCUGUUUACCGAUGGCCGGGUGCCCUGCUCGUUCUGCAGAUCUAGAGAUUUUAAUGACAGGCGGUGAAUUUAGACAGUUUUUUUUUUUUCCCCUUUCAGGAAUGUUUUAAGGGAUUGAGAGGAAAUUGUGCACGGAUUUUGCUGUUUUAAGAGCUAAUAUGUGAACAACUUCAGAAGCACGGUGUUGUUUUAGGGCUGCAGUUUACACAGUGAGGGGGACACACAGAGCAGCUUGUCCUGGGCUCUGGAGCCUGUCUCCUUGGGUUCACUCCCUGGGGAAGGGGCUGCCUUCCAGGGGAGCAGAGCUAAAAGGGAGCACCAAGUCUGACCCCAGCUCCCACCACAUCCUGUGCAGGAUGGCUGGGGAGGGACGUGACGCUGGG
RNAcentral lists this long non-coding RNA (1309 nucleotides) under Marmota monax (woodchuck). The record is from RNAcentral. Lineage: Eukaryota; Metazoa; Chordata; Mammalia; Rodentia; Sciuridae.